GGGUGCGUGGGAGAGUAGCUAUUCCACCUCUCUGUAAAAGAGGCGCCUUAGGGCUUCGCAGGUGCAAUUCCUGCCGCACCCA
This 82-nucleotide transfer RNA is filed under the name Patescibacteria group bacterium. Its description in RNAcentral is "tRNA-Tyr". It matches the Rfam family "tRNA". From Rfam's summary of the family: Transfer RNA (tRNA) molecules are approximately 80 nucleotides in length. The record is from RNAcentral.